RNAcentral lists this transfer RNA (75 nucleotides) under Minisyncoccota bacterium. RNAcentral's name for it is "tRNA-Ala". It matches the Rfam family "tRNA". Rfam says of the family: Transfer RNA (tRNA) molecules are approximately 80 nucleotides in length. The record is from RNAcentral. Lineage: Bacteria; Bacillati; Minisyncoccota.
GGGGGAUUGGUAUAGUUGGGAACACGUGGCCCUUGCACGGCCGAGUCAGCGGUUCAAGUCCGCUAUCCUCCACCA